RNAcentral lists this ribosomal RNA (85 nucleotides) under Sphingobacterium sp. JUb78. RNAcentral describes it as "partial 23S ribosomal RNA". It matches the Rfam family "Bacterial large subunit ribosomal RNA", at positions 2836 to 2925 of the family's 2925-position model. Lineage: Bacteria; Pseudomonadati; Bacteroidota; Sphingobacteriia; Sphingobacteriales; Sphingobacteriaceae. The record is from RNAcentral.
CGUAGUAGACUACUACGUUGAUAGGUUGCAGGUGUAAAGGUAGAAAUACCAUAGCUGAGCAAUACUAAUCACCCGAAGCUUUCUC